CUGAUGUCCCUCGGCACUGAAUUCUCUGUUUAACCCCAAAGCAGGUCCAGCAGUAACGCAACCUACCGCCACACCGUUCCCUGCUACUGUGCCUCAUGUCUGACCUGGAGGGACUCAGGGGUCAGAGAGUAGCUUCAGUUCUCAAUGACCCAUUCACUUCAUGAUGUCU
This 169-nucleotide small RNA is filed under the name Gopherus agassizii (Agassiz's desert tortoise). RNAcentral's name for it is "TUC338 (ENSGAGG00000020800.1)". The record is from RNAcentral. Lineage: Eukaryota; Metazoa; Chordata; Testudines; Testudinidae.